GAUGUCCUACGGGGCGCAGCAGUGAGGAAUAUUGGUCAAUGAACGAGAGUCUGAACCAGCCACGUAGCGUGAAGGAUGACUGCCCUAUGGGUUGUACACUUCUUUUAUAUGGGAAUAAAAUGUUCCACGUGUGGGAUUUUGUAUGUACCAUAUGAAUAAGGAUCGGCUAACUCCGUGCCAGCAGCCGCGGUAAUACGGAGGAUCCGAGCGUUAUCCGGAUUUAUUGGGUUUAAAGGGAGCGUGGGUGGAUUGUUAAGUCAGUUGUGAAAGUUUGCGGCUCAACCGUAAAAUUGCAGUUGAAACUG
RNAcentral lists this ribosomal RNA (305 nucleotides) under uncultured bacterium. Its description in RNAcentral is "bacterial SSU rRNA". It matches the Rfam family "Bacterial small subunit ribosomal RNA", at positions 333 to 635 of the family's 1533-position model. The record is from RNAcentral.